This 444-nucleotide ribosomal RNA is filed under the name uncultured bacterium. RNAcentral describes it as "bacterial SSU rRNA". It matches the Rfam family "Bacterial small subunit ribosomal RNA", at positions 355 to 796 of the family's 1533-position model. The record is from RNAcentral.
UAAGGAAUAUUGGUCAAUGGGCGAAAGCCUGAACCAGCCAUGCCGCGUGAAGGAUGAAGGUCCUCUGGAUUGUAAACUUCUUUUAUCUAUGAAUAAACGCCCGAUUUCUAUUGGGUUUGAAGGUAAUAGAUGAAUAAGCACCGGCUAACUCCGUGCCAGCAGCCGCGGUAAUACGGAGGGUGCAAGCGUUAUCCGGAUUCACUGGGUUUAAAGGGUGCGUAGGUUGAUAGGUAAGUCAGUGGUGAAAUACUCCGACUCAAUCGGAGAACUGCCGUUGAUACUAUCUAUCUUGAAUACGGUGGAGGCGGGCGGAAUGCGUCAUGUAGUGGUGAAAUACUUAGAUAUGACGCAGAACACCCAUUGCGAAGGCAGCUCGCUACACCGGCAUUGACACUGAGGCACGAAAGCGUGGGGAUCAAACAGGAUUAGAUACCCCGGUAGUCC